RNAcentral lists this ribosomal RNA (460 nucleotides) under uncultured bacterium. RNAcentral describes it as "partial 16S ribosomal RNA". It matches the Rfam family "Bacterial small subunit ribosomal RNA", at positions 338 to 795 of the family's 1533-position model. The record is from RNAcentral.
CCUACGGGAGGCAGCAGUGAGGAAUAUUGGUCAAUGGACGAGAGUCUGAACCAGCCAAGUAGCGUGAAGGAUGACUGCCCUAUGGGUUGUAAACUUCUUUUAUAUGGGAAUAAAAUGUUUCACGUGUGGGAUUUUGUAUGUACCAUAUGAAUAAGGAUCGGCUAACUCCGUGCCAGCAGCCGCGGUAAUACGGAGGAUCCGAGCGUUAUCCGGAUUUAUUGGGUUUAAAGGGAGCGUAGGUGGAUUGUUAAGUCAGUUGUGAAAGUUUGCGGCUCAACCGUAAAAUUGCAGUUGAAACUGGCAGUCUUGAGUACAGUAGAGGUGGGCGGAAUUCGUGGUGUAGCGGUGAAAUGCUUAGAUAUGACGAAGAACUCCGAUUGCGAAGGCAGUUCACUGGACUGCAACUGACACUGAGGCUCGAAAGUGUGGGUAUCAAACAGGAUUAGAUACCCUUGUAGUC